This 181-nucleotide non-coding RNA is filed under the name Hungateiclostridiaceae bacterium KB18. RNAcentral describes it as "Ruminiclostridium sp. KB18 Lysine riboswitch aptamer". It matches the Rfam family "Lysine riboswitch aptamer". Rfam says of the family: Riboswitches are metabolite binding domains within certain messenger RNAs that serve as precision sensors for their corresponding targets. Allosteric rearrangement of mRNA structure is mediated by ligand binding, and this results in modulation of gene expression. This family includes riboswitches that sense lysine in a number of genes involved in lysine metabolism, including lysC. The record is from Rfam by way of RNAcentral. Lineage: Bacteria; Bacillati; Bacillota; Clostridia; Eubacteriales; Oscillospiraceae. RNAcentral also lists the same sequence under 1 other name.
CAGCAUGAUAGAGGCGCGGAGGACAUGAGUACGGCUGCUGUAAGCCCAGGGCAUGGGGAGCGGCCUGAAAGGGGAUUCCGCCGAGGCGGGGAGGCCUGUGCCCAGGCUCCUUUUGCCGGGCCCCGGGAGAAGAUCCCGGGGACUGUCGCCCCAUAUUCCGGGGCGGAGCGCUGUCUAUGAU